Molecule: long non-coding RNA, 2646 nt
Organism: Xiphophorus couchianus (Monterrey platyfish)
Lineage: Eukaryota; Metazoa; Chordata; Actinopteri; Cyprinodontiformes; Poeciliidae
Exons: 4
Source: RefSeq, a predicted model, not a curated record
GCUGCUAGAUUUUUCAUUUUAGAUGUUAAGGAUUCUGGCUGGACAGGCAAUGCUGACUUUUUUGCUGUUAAUCAAUGAAUGACUAAAUGCUGUAGGAGGCUAAUUUAAAUUUAUGACAAACAAGACCACACUGCUGAACAAAAAUCACUAAAAUUAAUUGGACAUGGCUGGUGCGUAAAAGAUAAAUGCUAAAAGGAAUGAGACAAUGCUACAGGAUUAAUACUAAAUCUAAAACAAUCUUGCUGGGUAAAAAUCAAACCUCAAAACGAUUAAGACAACACGGCUCGGGACACUGGAAUUGAUACAAUUGAGAAAUUAAACUCUUUAAAAUUUAAAUAACGUUUCUGACAGUUCUAAAACACAAAUGGAGACACAAUAUAAUCGGUUGAGCUCUGGUAUAAACGGAUUGAAACAGCGGUUUUAAAGUUAUAACCAUUCUGGUCUGGACAUUAUAAAAUCCACACAGAGUGACGCGAAUUUACGUAUGAAAUAACGGCAGCGACAGUAACAACGGAAGUUAAUUCAAAUGUUCAAAGAUGUCAAGAGAAAGAGAGAAAUAGGCAGGACCUUUGGAUCGCGGAUAUGAACUGUUGACCCACGGAUCAAUCAUUUGGUGGCUGGAUUCCUAAACCUUCAAGUCCACAUGUUAAAAUGUCGUUGAGCAAAACAUUUAAACUCCGGUGAUAAUGAUUUUAAAGGUUAGUAAUGCUGCUGGGUGUCAAACCUAAAAUCUCUUAGGAAUGAGAAGAGAUAACGCUUUUCUUGACAAAUUCAUCUCUCUAAGGACGGAGACGACGCUUCUGCGGACAAAUGAAAUCUUUCAAGUAGUAAGAAAUUAAAAUCUUUUAGGACUAACAUGAUGUCAUGGUGGACAAAUUAAAAUGUAGAGGAAUUAAAACAACACGCGGAGUACAAAUUAAAAUCUUUAAGAAUAAAAGAAAAAGACAGAGAUAAAUAUUUGGUUAAGGCUUGGUCCAGUGACUUGGACCACCAUAGACAUAUUCUGAGGACCACCAGGAGCUGCAGUCACCUUUCAGGUUAAGGCAAAAGUAAGUAUCAGUCCCAGACAGAGCAGCUGGCAGUGAGACUGCUUCUUCCAAGAUUCUCUCUGUGCUUCUGUCUCUGUUUUCCUCUCUACUCUCCCAUGUUUCAGGGUGUAGUAGCGGUGCUUCCCCACACGGUGCUCUCUAAUAUAGUAAAUUGUUCUCACCUGUUCCUCCAUUAAUCCACUCUCCCAGUUCUACUCUUUCAGGUUUUAGCUGCUCAUCGCUGGAUUCUUUCAUCGUUGUCCAUGUGGUUCCUGCUUGUAAGUUUUUGCAUUCAACAACACAUAAUACUGCUGGCCUCCUGCUGGCAUUGGCGACCAUCAGCUUUACCAAGUAAACAUAGAAAGAAAUUCACUAUUACUAGAAAGUGUUCCUCCAUAUAGAGUUAAAAUUUACAUUAAGUGAGGAAAGUUUGCCUGGUAAUAUUUUGUAUUAGAGGCCAAAUUAAAGCAGGAAGUCAAUAAAAAAUUAGAAGACAGAAUUUAUGAUUGAGGGAUUUAAUUAAGAGCUUUUAUCCAGAGGGAAACUAGAGAACAGGAUCGAAGGGAUGGAAAUAAAGAGGAUGUGGAGUAAACUUUUAAUCUCAUAAAACAAAUAGUUUAUGUGGCCAUAUUCAUGUGUUGCAACACAGAAAGAUCCCAAAAAGAGAAUAGACUUUAAAAAAUACUGACACUAGUUUCUGAUCCCAGGUCCAGACUGCUCAGAUCUCUGAUGUUCUGAUCAUCCCUGGUUGGAUCUCCUGAGCCUGGAAUCCUCCACCUUCAACACCACCAGUCAGGUGGAGGAAGAUAAGAGAACCCAGUUGACAAAAAAAUCCUUUCAUAACAGCAGAGCUUUGAUGAGCUUUGUGCUGAUGGAAGGAGGAUCAGGAAUAGAGCAGAGGACCUGCUGAUCUACUGGUUCUAGUAGAUUUUAUAAAUGCAUGACUGAGACAAGUCAACAUCACUGGACCAAUGAGGAGAGAGAAGACACAGAGGACUGAGGAGACGCAGGAAAUCCUGCUGGGAAUCCAGAGAAGUUUCCUGAUGCAUCAGGGGGACAGCUGAGGACGGGACACAGAAUAAAGAGACAGAGAUCAUGUGAAAUUCAAGGAUGGCCUUUCAACCCUGGAUGUCAUUUAUGCUUUGGAGCUUCAUGCUUCUGUGUUCAGGCCCUUUAUGUGCACAAGGGUGGAAAAGCUGACAUCAGAAAUGUUAGAGGAAAUCUUUGAAGUUCAGCUCAGCGAAAAGGGCAGCACCAGACGACAAGAAGAAACCAGACUGCUAGGAUUCUCCUUGAGACAGACCAAACCUCGCUUUCCUGUUCAAACACUGUCAAGAUACCAAAGCCCAAGACAUACGAUCAGUUCCACAAAAACAUGGACUUUGGGAUAAAGACUCUUUGGACUUUAUUAAGUUCAAAUACAGAAUCAUAAAACACAAAUGUGGAUGUUGGCCUGUGAAGGCACUUGUGAAACCUGCUCUGUUCAACUAUCACUACCAACUGUUAUGACUAUUGUUGAAAACUGUUGUAAUGCUUAAUUGUAUUUACAUGUAAAUAUUAGAAAUGAACAUUUUUAUGUCAUCAAAAAUUGUUGCAAUAAAAAGUGACAUACUAUUAA